GCAUCUUCUGAAUACGCCGCAAGGCAAAACAAAUAAAUCAAAACUUUCAACAACGGAUCUCUUGGCUCUGGCAUCGAUGAAGAACGCAGCGAAACGCGAUAAGUAAUGUGAAUUGCAGAAUCCAGUGAAUCAUCGAAUCUUUGAACGCACAUUGCGCCCGCCAGCAUUCUGGCGGGCAUGCCUGUUCGAGCGUCAUUUC
Molecule: ribosomal RNA, 199 nt
Filed under: Beauveria sp.
Lineage: Eukaryota; Fungi; Ascomycota; Sordariomycetes; Hypocreales; Cordycipitaceae
Description: 5.8S ribosomal RNA
Rfam family: 5.8S ribosomal RNA (bases 42-195)
About the family: 5.8S ribosomal RNA (5.8S rRNA) is a component of the large subunit of the eukaryotic ribosome. It is transcribed by RNA polymerase I as part of the 45S precursor that also contains 18S and 28S rRNA.
Source: RNAcentral